GCUGAUCCCAGGCACCACAGACACGUCCAGGUAGCCGGGCAUCGCCUGGUAGGAGCUGGCGAAGCUGGGAUAGAAGGCGAACUCCUUGGCCCUGGAGGACAGGUCGUCACCCGGCAGGGCGCCCGACGGCUCGGGACUUGUCGGGCUUCCUGUGCUCACUUUGGUGCCUCAAUAGAGGCACCCCUUUCCAGAGAGCAUCUCCGUGGGACUGAGGCAAGUUCCCUUUCAGCACAGGGCCUCCCUGAGGAGAAGAGGGGCUUUAUGCGGCCAAAAUUUAGCGACGAGCGGAAAGAGAGGGAAAAGUUCCCUUCGUCAAGGAGACCAGCCGAAGAAGAUGUAGGCCCCCGAGAGACCUGAGAGAGUGGGGAGGCUGGAGGCGAAAAGUUCAGGACUCGGGGCGUUGAAAGCGCCAGAGAAGGGUCCGCAUGCUCUGAACGAUUUCCCACUCUUUCGCUGGGUUCCCCAAGACCUUCCGCGCCUGCAACUGCCGGCUCCAAGACUGGGGCGCACCCGGAGCAGGGAGGGAGGCGACGAAGCGAGAGCCUGCGGGCGGGCGCCUCAAAGUAGAGCCUUGUUGGUUAAUUAACUUUAAGCCUGGGGUCGCUUCUCCCUCCUCCCCCGAAAAAACAAAAUGUGGAUCUCGCUGAGACACAAAUAAAACCAAAUUAAACACUCCAGGAGAAUAUGCACCACUGGAAACGUGGUAAUUACAUCGCCGAAGCGAUGAGGCGAUCCCGCCCUAGAAAGCCGGGCGCUGAAACCCUCGGCUUCGGCGCUCAGCCCCCGCCGCCGAGCCACACCUCGCCCCGCCGGGGCCUUCGCGGGUGGGCCGAUGGAGCUGGACUGCGGACCUGGUUGAGAGGAAAUCGGGAGGAAUGAAUAGGAAUGUGACCCUUCGGUCUCUAGCUGUGAUGUUGGUGUGUGCGGGAAAGGACGGAGCAUUUCAUCACACCAAAGGAGAUGGAAAACGGCCCCUCUAGCCCCGUCGAGAAGCCCCGGGCUGCGCUCUCCGCUCUUUUUUCAAAGGGACAUUUGUGAUGGCGAGGCCAGGGGAGCCAGCUCUGCCCUCAGCUUCCUCUGUGGACUGAGUUCCCCGCUAAGUUCAACUCUAAAAUUCUUGUUUUCAGAGGCACCAAUAUAUAAAGGAGAUGCUCAAUGUGCCUUCUCACUGGAAGUGUGUGUGUGUGUGUUUGCACGGUGUACGUGUGCACACGCCUGGCCUCUGGGUUUGUGAUCGUGGGCAGGCUCCAUGCACUCUUCCAGCACAUGCCCUUGUGGAUACGGCCCAAGUGUAUUCAUGAAAAUACCCAGCCC
This is a long non-coding RNA of Physeter macrocephalus (sperm whale), 1314 nucleotides long. RefSeq lists it as uncharacterized. Lineage: Eukaryota; Metazoa; Chordata; Mammalia; Artiodactyla; Physeteridae. The transcript is spliced from 3 exons. The record is from RefSeq and is a predicted model, not a curated record.